GCCAUUGUUUCCUAAAACCCGUACCUUCUUAGAUACCAUCCCUUAUUACUUCUGAGUUUAUCUUUUGAAUUUGCUAGAGCACAACUUCAAGCAACAUCCUAAGAAAAGGGUAUGAAAGAGAGAAAGAAAGUUGGGCACAGAGAAGUUAAAUAACUUGUUGAAUGGGAAACAACCAACAAGGAUGGAGCCAGUAUUCAGCCAAGGUCCAUGCGGUUCAAUGACAGUUUCAAAGGGAUGUGCUGAUAAACGAUUUGCCUAUAGCUUGGCACAGUGUGCUCUGAUGCCAGUAAGCCUCUUGCGGAACAAAGAAAGCUAAGACACUUCUGAAGCUUGAACAGCUGAAGGACAGCUCUGAACCCAAGUGGCAGGUAGUGUUUCCCUCGGGCUUUUGUUACAUAUAUAUGUAUGAUACAUAACAAAUUCAUAUAUAUAUAAAUAUCUCUACGAGACUAUAUCAACGUGCUGUGUUAAUAACAAAGUAGUAACCGCAAUCGCUGCCGUAGUCUCAGAAGGUUUUAUGAGAGCGUCUAACAAAACCCUAAGUGUUCAAGAAAAUAGCACUGUUUUCACUUUACUGCAGAUCUUAAAUUUGCCGGAUCUUUCUAAACCGGUACCACUGAAAAUGCCACUGUGUUAUCAGCAAUGAGAAAAAUAUGCCAGGAACUACAGAAUAUAAGCAUUUAUUUAUUCUCCCAAAUAACAUUCAGAGACAGUGAACUCCAGCUAAAUGUUAGCUCGUCAUCUUGAAUAUGUAUUAUCGAGUAGGCAAAAUAUGCAAACGGUAGUUUAAAACUCAUCGAUAUUUUACUCAUUUUCUUUACCUGAUGAUCAACUGCUUUAAAUUCAGAAUACUAACUGUCCUGUACACAGGCCUGAACCUGCAUAUGACAGAAUAAAAGUAAGUCAAAGGGAAAGUUCUAUUCCCUUUAUCUUCGUAGAAAUUGAGUACUUCGUUUUAUAAUCCCUAUGUUCAAAUAUGGAAAUGUUAGUGGUUUAAAAGGGUUGUAGGGUAUUUAACCAAAAUGUAUUUAACUUGUUACCUCUGAAGAUUUAAGUUGAUUUCGUUUAUUUUCUUAAAACAAUGGUGUAAUGUGCAUAGGACUCUAUAGAAGUGUGUGAGUAUAUCCAUAGAAAAGAUUCCUAGAAGUGGAGAUUCUAACCAAACAUAUAUAUAUAUGCAUUUUUAAUUUUGUAGCUGUUGCUAAAUGGCUUUCCAAACCAGUGGCACAAAUGCAUAGUCUUAGCACUAAAGCCUUAAUGCCCUGUUAACCCAUGUUCUGGGCCAUAUUGGGCAUUACCAAAAUGUUUCUUUUCAAAAUAAUAGGUGAAAAAAGUGACCCCCUCAGUGUUGUUUUGUCUGUAUUACCUCACCUAUGAAUGACUUUUAUCUAGAGGAUUAUUACUUACUUAUUACAUUUCAGUAUUUGUAUUUCUUGUAGGGAGUAAAUUUUAUUUUUUCAUACUGAUAUAUAA
Molecule: long non-coding RNA, 1473 nt
Organism: Orcinus orca (killer whale)
Lineage: Eukaryota; Metazoa; Chordata; Mammalia; Artiodactyla; Delphinidae
Exons: 3
Source: RefSeq, a predicted model, not a curated record